Molecule: small RNA, 287 nt
Filed under: Phormidium tenue NIES-30
Lineage: Bacteria; Bacillati; Cyanobacteriota; Cyanophyceae; Oscillatoriales; Oscillatoriaceae
Description: 5' ureB small RNA
Rfam family: 5' ureB small RNA
Source: Rfam by way of RNAcentral
CAGUGUCAAUCUGCUGAGGGCAAAUGAAAUGAAUGUGACUGUCAAUGCCGCCAGCGGUGACAAUCAUGCCUUCUCCGGCCACUACCUCGGUGCCGGGGCCAAUAAUGAUGUCGACAUUGUCUUGAAUGUAGGGGUUGCCUGCUUUACCAAUUUUGUCGAUUUUGCCGUCUCUAAUGCCGAUGUCAGCUUUGACAAUGCCCCACCAGUCCAAAAUUAGCGCGUUGGUGAUGACCAUAUCCACUGCGCCCGCGUCGCGUCCGAUCGGCGACUGCCCCAUACCGUCACGG